UUAAUGUCUGGGGAUCUGCCCGAUAGAGGGGGAUAACCACUGGUAAACGGUGGCCAAUACCGCAUGAACGUCGCAAAGACCAAAAGAGGGGGACCUUCGGGCCUCUCACUAUCGGAUGAACCCAGAUGGGAUUAGCUAGUAGGCGGGGUAAUGGCCCACCUAGGCGACGAUCCCUAGCUGGUCUGAGAGGAUGACCAGCCACACUGGAACUGAGACACGGUCCAGACUCCUACGGGAGGCAGCAGUGGGGAAUAUUGCACAAUGGGCGCAAGCCUGAUGCAGCCAUGCCGCGUGUAUGAAGAAGGCCUUCGGGUUGUAAAGUACUUUCAGCGGGGAGGAAGGCGACGGGGUUAAUAACCCUGUCGAUUGACGUUACCCGGCGGAGGAGCACACCGGCUAACUCCGUGCCAGCAGCCGCGGUAAUACGGAGGGUGCAAGCGUUAAUCGGAAUUACUGGGCGUAAAGCGCACGCAGGCGGUCUGUGAAGUCAGAUGUGAAAUCCCCGGGCUUAACCUGGGAACUGCAUUGAAAC
RNAcentral lists this ribosomal RNA (532 nucleotides) under Pantoea agglomerans. RNAcentral describes it as "bacterial SSU rRNA". It matches the Rfam family "Bacterial small subunit ribosomal RNA", at positions 110 to 633 of the family's 1533-position model. The record is from RNAcentral. Lineage: Bacteria; Pseudomonadati; Pseudomonadota; Gammaproteobacteria; Enterobacterales; Erwiniaceae.